Molecule: ribosomal RNA, 253 nt
Filed under: uncultured bacterium
Lineage: Bacteria
Description: partial 16S ribosomal RNA
Rfam family: Bacterial small subunit ribosomal RNA
Source: RNAcentral
UACGGAGGAUUCAAGCGUUAUCCGGAUUUAUUGGGUUUAAAGGGUGCGUAGGCUGUCGGAUAAGUUAGAGGUCAAAUGUCGGGGCUUAACCCCGUGCCUGCCUCUGAUACUGUUCGACUGGAGAGCGGAUGCAGCAGGCGGAAUGAGUAGUGUAGCGGUGAAAUGCUUAGAUAUUACUCAGAACCCCGAUUGCGAAGGCAGCAUACCGGCGCCCGACUGACGCUGAGGCACGAAAGUGCGGGUAUCGAACAGG